GGUGCUUUCUCUCUCUGAGGGACUGGGGGCAGGAGAGAGGGAUGUACGGAAGAGGGCAGGAGAGGGGGAUGUGGAGAUGAGUGCAGUCAGGCCAGCGGUGGUAGUGCACCCCAGGGAGCUGAAGGGCCUCCUUCACAUCUGCACUGUCAUCGCUCAAGGUCUGACCAUUUAGAGCUCUCCAUGCUGGUUAGUUUAACCUUUCUAGGGUAGAGAGGUUAACCCUUACCUGUCCAGGUACUGAGCUGCUGUCUGAGGGGCGGUGUUCAGAGGCCCUGACUGUUCUUCAGAGAGACCCCUCCCCCUUGGCCCCAAGAGACCUGCUGGCCCAAAUACACACCCUCAUACGCCUCUGCCUCAGUGGCAAGGGUCAUCCCGUCAGUGCUGUGUUAUAGGAAGGCUUUGGAGACAGACAUGGGGUGUGUGUGUGCACUGCACCAGAGCCUCCUGGUUAACAGACAGCAGGGAAACACGCAAGCAGAGAUCCAGGCUCUACACCUGAUACACUCCGCUCUGUACAUGCCACCUACCACUCAGCCUGCUGUGGCCCCACCUCCUCUCGUCUGCCCCGCCUCUCUGCUCCCUGGCCAAUCCUUGUCCAGCCUGCUUUCAGUCCCCUCCCACCUCAGCAUACGACACAGUCUGACUCAAAAGUGUGUACUCCA
Long non-coding RNA from Oncorhynchus tshawytscha (Chinook salmon), 662 nucleotides. RefSeq lists it as uncharacterized. NCBI's taxonomy places the organism in Eukaryota, Metazoa, Chordata, Actinopteri, Salmoniformes, Salmonidae. The transcript is spliced from 3 exons. The record is from RefSeq and is a predicted model, not a curated record.